CAAGUAGGCGGUCUAUUAAGUGAGAGGUGAAAUCUCCCGACUCAAUCGGGAAACUGCCUUUCAAACUACUAGACUUGAGGUCAGAAGAGGGAAAUGGAAUUAGCGGUGUAAGGGUGAAAUCUGUAGAUAUCGCUAAGAACAUCGGCGGCGAAGGCGGUUUCCUGGUCUGAAUCUGACGCUAAAUUGCGAAAGCUAGGGGAGCAAACAGGAUUAGAUACCCUGGUAGUCC
RNAcentral lists this ribosomal RNA (229 nucleotides) under uncultured bacterium. RNAcentral's name for it is "partial 16S ribosomal RNA". It matches the Rfam family "Bacterial small subunit ribosomal RNA", at positions 568 to 796 of the family's 1533-position model. The record is from RNAcentral.